Molecule: ribosomal RNA, 118 nt
Filed under: Periophthalmus magnuspinnatus
Lineage: Eukaryota; Metazoa; Chordata; Actinopteri; Gobiiformes; Gobiidae
Source: RNAcentral
AAAUGUGGUCAAACCUCCUUGUCAAAGCCUGCUCUCGUCAGAUCUUAGAAGCUAGGCAUGACUGGGCUUGGUUAGUAUUUGGAUGGGAGACUGCUGGGAAUACCAGGUGCCAGAGUGG